AACGAACGCUGGCGGCAUGCCUAACACAUGCAAGUCGAACGAGACCUUCGGGUCUAGUGGCGAACGGGUGCGUAACGCGUGGGAACCUGCCCUUAGGUUCGGAAUAACUCCCCGAAAGGGGUGCUAAUACCGGAUAAUGUCUUCGAACCAAAGAUUUAUCGCCUUUGGAUGGGCCCGCGUUGGAUUAGCUAGUUGGUAGGGUAAAAGCCUACCAAGGCGACGAUCCAUAGCUGGUCUGAGAGGAUGAUCAGCCACACUGGGACUGAGACACGGCCCAGACUCCUACGGGAGGCAGCAGUGGGGAAUAUUGGACAAUGGGCGAAAGCCUGAUCCAGCAAUGCCGCGUGAGUGAUGAAGGCCUUAGGGUUGUAAAGCUCUUUUACCCGGGAUGAUAAUGACAGUACCGGGAGAAUAAGCUCCGGCUAACUCCGUG
RNAcentral lists this ribosomal RNA (433 nucleotides) under uncultured bacterium. RNAcentral describes it as "partial 16S ribosomal RNA". It matches the Rfam family "Bacterial small subunit ribosomal RNA", at positions 29 to 507 of the family's 1533-position model. The record is from RNAcentral.